Passer domesticus (house sparrow) is the source of this 299-nucleotide long non-coding RNA. RefSeq lists it as uncharacterized. The transcript is spliced from 3 exons. NCBI's taxonomy places the organism in Eukaryota, Metazoa, Chordata, Aves, Passeriformes, Passeridae. The record is from RefSeq and is a predicted model, not a curated record.
CCUCUUCCAGGAGAAAAAUACUCCAGCAUCCUCAGGGAGCACAAAACGAGUCUGCCAAGUACAGCACAAUGCAUGCAAUGAAAGCUGCACACUGAGGGAUCCUCCAAGGAGUGGGGGCUGGGAGCAAGUUCCAUUCAUCUGCUGCAGAGAUCCUGCAGGCUGAACAGCCAGAAGAGCAAAGAGUGGAGCUGCAUGUCAAUAUUGGCUGUCAUGUCACCAGGAAGCAAAAACAGCCAGAGCUGAAGGAAGUGGGAGUUCACAUCUUCUCAUGGCAUAAAGUUUAAAUGAAGUGUUUGAAA